This 381-nucleotide unclassified non-coding RNA is filed under the name uncultured Armatimonadota bacterium. RNAcentral's name for it is "uncultured Armatimonadetes bacterium contains 16S-23S intergenic spacer region". Lineage: Bacteria; Bacillati; Armatimonadota. The record is from RNAcentral.
UCCGAUUUACACCGGCGGUCUCUUGUGAGUUCCCACCUUUCGUGCUGGUAACACAAGACGAGGGUUGCGCUCGUUGGCGGACUUAACCGUACACCUCACGGCACGAGCUGACGACAGCCAUGCAACAAGUGUCUUCACGUCCCCUUGUGGGGGAGGGCCUCCUUUCAGAGGCUUGCGAUCGAUGUCAAGUCUGGGUAAGGUUCUUCGGUUAGCAUCGAAUUAAUCCACAUGCUCCACCGCUUGUGCGGGUCCCCGUCAAUUCAUUUGAGUUUCAACCUUGCGGCCGUACUCCCCAGGCGGGGUGCUUAAUGCGUUAGCUGCGGCACGAACGGCGUGGAAUACCGCUCACACCUAGCACCCACCGUUUACGGCGUGGACUAC